AGAAACUCUGCCUCAAUAAACAAACAAACAAACAAAUAAAUAAAUUCAACAACAAAAAGCAAAACAAAACCAAACAAAUGAAAGGGGGGGGGGGGGAGAUGGCUGGUUAUUCAUCUGUGGCUAGAGAGAAGUAGACUUUUUAAUUUAUUUUGCAAUCAGACAACAUUUGAGGCUUGCCCUCCCUUAUUUAUCUAUUUAUUUUUACAGACAAUUCUGGUGCAGGAGAGCUUCUCUUCUCAGAUGAAAUCUGGGGCACAACUAACUGCGUAGUUAAAGGAUGGACUGACCUCCUUACCGAUCGGUCUGGGUCAGGCAGACACUCACCUGGGGCAGCUUCACGCAUGGAAAUAAUGAAGCACAGAAGGGCCUGUUCAACUCCACUGUUGGAUGUCACAGAACUAUCUAAGAGGUCCCUGGGGAUGAAAAGCAAGCACUCAGUUGCUGAUGAGGAGAGCGUGUGGAGGGGACACCAGAGCAUCUCUAAAACACGUCGAAGAUGGAAGGAAAAUAAGAACCUUGAAGAUCCUUUUAGGAUUUCCCCAGUGAACACAGAUAUACAUCUGAUAAUUUUGAUUUUUGUCUACUGACUGCAGA
RNAcentral lists this long non-coding RNA (594 nucleotides) under Mus spicilegus (steppe mouse). Its description in RNAcentral is "lncRNA (ENSMSIG00000015185.1)". Lineage: Eukaryota; Metazoa; Chordata; Mammalia; Rodentia; Muridae. The record is from RNAcentral.